Molecule: ribosomal RNA, 253 nt
Filed under: uncultured bacterium
Lineage: Bacteria
Description: partial 16S ribosomal RNA
Rfam family: Bacterial small subunit ribosomal RNA
Source: RNAcentral
UACGUAGGGUGCGAGCGUUGUCCGGAAUUACUGGGCGUAAAGCGCACGUAGGCGGCUUUGCAAGUUAGAGGUGAAAGCCCGGGGCUCAACUCCGGAAUUGCCUUUAAAACUGCAUCGCUAGAAUUGUGGAGAGGUAAGUGGAAUUCCGAGUGUAGAGGUGAAAUUCGUAGAUAUUCGGAAGAACACCAGUGGCGAAGGCGACUUACUGGACACAUAUUGACGCUGAAGUGCGAAAGCGUGGGGAGCAAACAGG